CCGGCCCUUGUCCCGCCUCCCGCCUAGGCCCGUAACAAAGGGCCCUGCGCUCCGCCCCGCCCGCCCCUUAACCCCUUCCAGGCAGAAGGCAGGCUCCACGCCCUCCCAGGGUGGCGCAGCCCUUGUUGCCGCGUGUCCAGGAAGGUCGGUGGAAAUGCAAAUUCCUCUCCACUUACCAAGACUGAUCUCGCUUAUAUUUGGGGAGCAACUGUGAUUAAACCUAAAGUGGGUGUCUGAGGUGCCAGACUAGGCCUCACAAGUACCCAGAACUCAUGCCACUCAAUCUUCUGGAGAAAAGGACCAGAGUGACCAAGAGACCACGGUCCCAACUGGAUACUUUCCUGAUCCUGGAAGACCAUUUUCUGCGAGCUCCCACAUGCUGACUAGUGUUGUCUUGAUCCCGCCAACCUCUACGUGAUGCCAAAAGUAACACUGAGAGAGGUGCCGCCACUUCCCACGAUGCAGGGCCUGCCUGUUCUGCUACCACUUGGAAAGUCCAAGGGUCUUGGAUCAGGUUAUAAUAAAGUCGGUCAUAGAGCAUAUCAGAUCACAGGGUUAUAUUCAGAUUGGCAGCUUAAUGCCAAGAACUACACAUUAAAGGGCAUUCUGAAAUUCUAACCACAUCCUUGAAUACUCUUUAAUACAAGUCAGACAUUCACGUGUGCUGGACUUCAUGCUGGGAUGUAAGCCUGUUUUUAAAAGCUAAUGACUACUACUAAUAUUCUACUUUUAUGGCAAUGACCUUAUCCUCUGAAAUCCUCUCUCAAGGUGAGUAAUGCUUCUAAAUUGUCUAGAUUCGUUACAAUUAAGAUAAAAAACUAUUCAAUAGGCCAGGCAACACACUCAAGCAGCAGCGCUCAUGGUAGCCAUUGCCAAGUUGCACACAAACACAAACUGACUGAACUUCUAUCCAGCUAUAGCUUUUGAACUCUUGCAAGAUAGGGGGAGUGCUGUGUACAAGCACAUAUCUGCAUACAUGCAGGCAGAUUGCUGUAUACAUAAUAAAUAAAUAUUAAAAAAAAAAAGAACUUGGCACCUAAGCUUCCAUGUCUGAGCACAGUAGAACCCUGUCUGUGUUGCAGCCUACUGAUUCAGAAUGUGUGGGCUAAACUGCUAAAGCCCCAGAGGACCCAACCAGGGGCCAUUUUGGAAGAAGGAAGGAAAGGCUGCUACUGGAUCCUAUCAGGAAUGGGACAGACCUGGAUGGAUGGAUGGAUGGAUGGAUGGAUGGAUGGAUGGAUGGAUGGAUGGAUGGGCGGGCAAGCCAGCGGGCGGGCAGAUGGACAGACAAACUCCAUGAAUUUGGAACUCAUCUGAAAACAACUUGUAGAUUUAAGAAAUACAUCACAGUAGAAGUAAUAAAAGAGGGACUCUAAAAUUUUAGAUUGGAUUUAUUUUAAAUUUGGGGUUCAAUCUCUUUUUUAAAAUGGGGCAGGCACCCACCAUAGCAGUGGGUCAAGAGGAGGCAGGAAUGUGGUAGAGGGACUGGAGUGGGAGUGGGAGUGGAGGAAGGUAGGUGAGUCUGGCUAGAGGGGCGGCCUGGGCCCUCCACAGCUGAACCUUGCAUCUUUUCAGCACAGCUGGUUGUGCUGAAGGAACAGGGAUGGUCUGUUUCACAAGUUGAGCCAAUACAGCCCACAGCCUCUCACUGUUGGCCAGUUUCUCUAGCUUGGACCAUCUGUCUGUGUGGAGCUGAUCACAAUAGCUACACCACUUCACUGCCCUACAAGGACGCAUGUCCCUGGUAACUCUUGGAACCUUUCAGUCAUAACUGUUUGUCUGCAGUCAUGGAUCACUAAGGUCCAGUGACUCCAGUCAGGCAACUGACAAGGCCAAGCUGUAGAGCUUGGAUAAGCUUAGGCCAUGUUGGAGACCUGCUUGAAGCUGGUGGGCUGCAAACCCAAGAAGGGCUGUCCUCCAACUGCUACCUGGAAGGUACACUCUGGUGGGAAUGCUGGGGGACCCUCCAGGACUGUCCUGCCUGUGCCCUGCAUGCUCUAGGUCCCUAACCUUCCCCUUCUGAGGUCUCAGCAGGUACUUGUGGGUUGAGCAGACAGCCUCAUUCAGAGCCCCGAUUUCCUCAUCCGUGAGGUAGUGGGAGUGUCCUAAGAGUGGUCUCCACAGUGGAAAUAACAUAUGGAGGCCUUAAUACAGAAGGUGCAUAGUGGCUGCUAUAGCAUUUUCCAGAGAACUCUGCACUAGUUAAGGACAGCACUCCUGCAUGAGUACUGGGUGUAUGUUGAGACACAAAUGAAUACUUUGCAUCAAGAAUGACUGGAGAUGGGACUGGAGAGACAGCUCAGUGGUUAAGAGUACUGUCUGUUCUUUCAGAGGUCCUGGAGUUCAAUUCCCAGCAACCAUAGUGGCUCACAACCAUCUGUAAUGGGAUCCGAUGCCCUAUUCUGGUGUGUCUGGAGACAGUGACAGUGUGCUCAUAUAUAAAAAAAAAUAAUAAAUCUUUUAAAAAAAUGACUGGAGACAGCACAACAUGAAUUAGCUCUGUGGUGGUUUGUACUUGCUUGGCCUAGGGAAUGGCACUAUUUGGAAGUGUGGCCUUGUUGGAGGAAGUGUGUCACUGUGUGUGUGGGCUUUAAGACCCUCAUCCUAGCUGCCUGGAAGCCAGUCUUCUCUCACCAACCUUCAGAUGAAGAUGUAGAACUCUCAGCUUUUCCUGCACCAUGACUGCCUGGGCGCUGCCAUGCUCCUGCCUUGAUAAUGGCCUGAACCUCUGAACAGGCAGCCCCAAUUAAUGUCCUUCCUUCUAAGAGCUGCCUUAGUCAUGUGUCUGUUCAUAGUAGUAAAGCCCUAACUAGGACGCUCUGGAAGGAGAGUAGAGUCGGGGUUGCUCGGGUUCAAAUGUCAUAGAGCCUACCUGACAUCUACAGCUGACGUUUGGGAGACUGAGACUUAGACGUAACCAGCCCUCCACCCUCAUCUUCACCAGCCUCUUCCAGACUCAACACACCGUGUACAUGCACACUGCAGGCUGCCCUGCAUAUCAUAAUGCUCCUUGUCUGGUCCAUCCUCUUGGGAUGUCUAGACUGUGAUUCUCAGUGAGGACCCAAAGCAAAUUCUCUUUCUAGAAAACUUCAUAAUUUGGAAGGUGGAGGCAAAAGAUCAAGAGAACAACUUAGGCUAAGGAGACCCUGUCUUAGAAAACAAAACAAAAAUCUCAUAUACUAUAUAUAUACAUGACUUUACUAUAUUUUAUAAGUAAAGGGUAUAAACCUAUUUGGUCAAAAAAAAA
Rattus norvegicus (Norway rat) is the source of this 3247-nucleotide non-coding RNA. Lineage: Eukaryota; Metazoa; Chordata; Mammalia; Rodentia; Muridae. The record is from RefSeq and is a predicted model, not a curated record.